GACGAACGCUGGCGGCGUGCUUAACACAUGCAAGUCGAACGGAAAGGCGCUGCUUUUGUUGGGUGGUCUGGUGGCGAGCGGGUGGGUAGAACAAGAGUAGCCUACCCUGGCCUUUGGUAUAGGUUAACGGCACGAAGGCGAAUCCAAGAUAGGAUAUCCUGCUUCUGUGUGAGGGUUGGACUGUGUCGGCGGUUGGGGCUGGGGUGGCGGUUUAUCCGCUUGUUGGUGGGGUGGUGGCCUACCAAGGCUUUGACGGGUAGCCGGCGUGAGAGGGUGGCCGGACAGAGUGGGACUGAGAGGCGGGCGGGACUGCGACGGGAGGCAGCAGUGGGGAAUAUUGCACGAUGGGCGCAAGCCUGAUGCAGCGACGCGGCGUGAGGGAUGGAGGCCGUCGGGUUGUGAACAUCUUUCGCGAGUGAAGCAGGCCUGCCUCGUUUGUGGGUGGGUUGACGGUAGCUGGAUAAGAAGCGCCGGCUAACUACGUG
RNAcentral lists this ribosomal RNA (485 nucleotides) under uncultured bacterium. RNAcentral describes it as "partial 16S ribosomal RNA". It matches the Rfam family "Bacterial small subunit ribosomal RNA", at positions 28 to 507 of the family's 1533-position model. The record is from RNAcentral.